AAGAUUAAACUGAAGAGUUUGAUCAUGGCUCAGAUUGAACGCUGGCGGCAGGCUUAACACAUGCAAGUCGAGCGGUAACAGAUCUAGCUUGCUAGAUGCUGACGAGCGGCGGACGGGUGAGUAACGCGUAGGAACCUGCCCAGUAGUGGGGGAUAGCCCGGUGAAAACCGGAUUAAUACCGCAUACGCUCUACGGAGGAAAGGGGGCUUCGGCUCUCGCUAUUGGAUGGGCCUGCGUGAGAUUAGCUAGUUGGUGAGGUAAUGGCUCACCAAGGCGACGAUCUCUAGCUGGUCUGAGAGGAUGAUCAGCCACACUGGGACUGAGACACGGCCCAGACUCCUACGGGAGGC
Molecule: ribosomal RNA, 350 nt
Filed under: Oleiphilus sp. HI0009
Lineage: Bacteria; Pseudomonadati; Pseudomonadota; Gammaproteobacteria; Oceanospirillales; Oleiphilaceae
Description: bacterial SSU rRNA
Rfam family: Bacterial small subunit ribosomal RNA
Source: RNAcentral